This 4576-nucleotide long non-coding RNA is filed under the name Populus tremula. Its description in RNAcentral is "long non-coding RNA (PTRE_LNC003321)". Lineage: Eukaryota; Viridiplantae; Streptophyta; Magnoliopsida; Malpighiales; Salicaceae. The record is from RNAcentral.
AGUUGGUUUUUGCGACAUUCGACUGGCGACUUUCGUUUUGUUUUGUUGAUUUAGUUCUUUUGGGAGUCGCCACCUAGUAUUUUGGUCACUAGGAACCCUAACUGGUCUUUCAGAGAUUCUAAGGCAAGGGACUGGUUGCGUAAAGGGAAGGUAUUAGCACCCCUAGUACGCCCUACCUAAGGUAAGCUGCUUGGUGUUUGGUUUGCUUAUAAUUGCUAUGGUGUUAGGUAUUUUCUAGGCUCGUCAAUUGAUUUUGGAUAGAAAUCUAAGGAGAUUCCAUGUGCUUUGAAAGCUCAUUUUUCCCUUAGUAUUUCAAAAGUUUUGCGACUCAUAAAUCGUGAAAAAAAAAAAAUUAAAUUUUGAAAUGUCCUCGAUUAUAAUCAAGGCUUCUUUCAAGAAUGUGUGCGGAUUUAUUAUCCCAUAAUAUUUUGGAUAUUCAUCCUUUUAAGGAUUUCUUUAUCCAAACAUUAGCGGUAAAUAAUAAAUAAAUUUUUCCCAAAAAUAAGAUUUUUAUAGUUUUUUGAAUAUUGGCCAAUACCCUUUGGAAUUUUACAAACACGUUGUAAAAUCCAGAAAUGCAAGAAAAUAAUUUGUGUUUAAGAAAUCUAUGCGAAAACACACUUUCGAAGCUUCCAAUAUAUUUUUUUUAUAUAAAAAGAAUAUUCAAAACAUGUUAGAGUAUUGGCCGUAUGCAACACGCAAGAAAAUAUUUUUUUUUUAAAACAAUAUUUUUUUUUGACGAAAUCGGUAUUUUUAAUACUGAAUUUGUAUCUCCACAAUAAAAAUACAAACUAAUAUUAAGUCAUAAAAAAAUGUACAAAAAAUCAACAAUAUUUUUUAGGAAUUUUAGAAAUUUUUGAAAGCAAAAAAAAAAUUAUCUUUGAAAAUUUCGGGUGCUCGACGAAAAUCAGAUAUUUUAAAUACUGAAUUUAUACCUCCAUAGUAUAAAAAAAAUACAAACCCCAAAAAAUAUAUAUGAAAGGAAAAUAACAAAUUUUUUUUUAGAUUUUUUUUAGAUUUUUUACAAAUAUUUUAUAUAUAUAUAACAUAUACACAUAUAUAUAUAAUAUAAUAAUAUAAUAUAAUUAUAUAUUAAUUAUUAAGGGGCUGGGCCGGCCCAACUGAUUGGGCCGGGCUCAGCCCCACAGUGACUGGGCCGACCUCGGCCCAGAAAGGUAACUGGGCCGACCUCGGCCCAGGAAAGGUAACUGGGCCGACCUCGGCCCAGGAAAGGUUACUGGGCCGAAGUCGGCCCAAAACACAACUUGGUCUGGGCCGGACCCGGCCCAGACCGCUGGGUUGGGCCAGAACCCUUCUGGCCCAUAUACAUCGUUCCCGGCCAGACCGCUGGGUUGGGCCAGAACCCUUCUGGCCCAUAUAUAAAAUAUAACGGGGGGAAUUAAUUUCCCCCCGUCUCCUGCAUGCAGCACAAAUCUGCAUGCAGGAGAUGAGAAUUAGCAGAAGACGAGAGAAGAAAAAAAAAUGCAGGGGAGGGAACGUACCUGGCGAGGCUGGAGACGGUGGUUGGCUGACGGGGCUACGGUGGCGCGGCUCGUGGAUGGCGGUUUCGGGCGGCGUUGCUGCUGUUUCAGUGGCGAAAAAUUCUUCUUCCUCCCUUCUCCUUCGUUUUUUUUCGUUCUCAGUGGCUGCCUAUUCUCGGUUCGGUUUUGGUUUUGUUUCGGUUUCCUUCUUCUUGGUUUGGUUCUGUUUCUCUCUCUCUUCGGGUCACUCUCUCUCUCUUUCUCUCUUCGGGUCUUUCGGUUUUUUCUCCUUUUUUCCUCUUCGGUUUUUCUUCUUUAUUUAUAGGGGAGCACGGGUGGGGACCGUGGUUAGUGCGCCUUCAAUCACGCAUGGCUGGUCGGUUCUUUCGGUGGUGGUGGUGGGGGCGAGGAGAGAGAGAGACGCGGGAGAUUUUUUCAAAAUUUUUUCCUUCUGUUCUGCUAAAACGGGGGGGGAAGGAGAUGAUGAACAGUGUCGUUCAAAACGACACCGUUCUGCUUUCCUUUUUUUUUUUUUUUUUUUUUUUGUAUAUGAAACGGCGUCGUUUUGAAUAAAACGCGCCGUUUCAUUUAAAUGGCCAAACUUCAAAUCAGUCCUCCAAAUUCGGUCCCCGCCCUUCUUGUUGGCCGCCUUUUUCAUUUUGGUCCUUGGCCUCUGAUUUAUGCAAUUUAGCCCUCAAUUGAUUAAUAAACUUUCAAUUUCUUCAAUUAAGCCCCUGAACAAAAAUUAGCAGCCCCUCCAUUUACGCGCCUCUUCCAAUUGGUCCCUGGUUUCGGAUUUUCUCAAUUAAGUCCUAAUUGGCCCUUAAACUUCAAUUUUAUGCAAUUGAGCCCCUGAUUUGACCCAAUAAAUUCCUAAAAAAUAUAUUUUGGCCCCAGAACUUAAAUUUCUCCAAAUUAAAGCCCAAAUUGACUUAAAAAUCAAUUUUUCUUGGAAUCAAAUCUUCUAUAAAUUCAAAUAAAAAUCCAAUUAAGUCCAUAAAAAUCCAAUUAAGCCAUAAAAAUCCAAUUAAGCCAUAAAAAUCCAAAUUUGGGCUUUUCUCCUAAAAUUCAAAUUUUUCUUCUCAAUAGGGCUUUCAUCCUUCAAGAAUAUACUGUCAAAAAUUCAAUCCUUGUAUUUUUAAAUUCCUUGACCAAUUUUCUGACUGUUUUCCGGGCGCUUCUGCCUCCGGUUAUUUUUCUAACCUCUUUUGGCUAUUUAUUUUAUUUUUCAGGGGGACCCAAAAAUGGGUUACAACAGAUGCCCCCUCUUUAUAAUACUUACGGAGCAUGGGUUUUGCGCAGUAAGUGUUAUAAAGAUAAACCCAAAACGGAACUCCCGAAACUGAUCUGGUCGAAGCUUGAUUGAUCUGAAACUUUGUCCUUUAUAACAAUCCUCCUUAGCCCCAAAAAAACCAUGAUCGAAACUUAGUCAUCUCGAGAUCCUUAUCCAGCGAUCCUCUGAAUUCUUAUUUUAGUUUGAUCAACAUGGAAAUCCAUCCGAGAUCCUAUCUAGUGAUCUUCUUUAACCUGGAAUCCCAUCCGGCGAUUCCUUUACUCAUAACCAAUACAAAAAAUGUGUGUGUGGUCUCAUUAUGAUGGGUGACCUGCCCGAGUGGAAAAGAGAAAGAGGUCUCAUUCUUUGGGUGACCUACCCAGGUAAAAAAAAAUGGAAAACGGUCUCAUUCUUAUGGGUGACCUACCCAGAAAAUAUGGUCUCAUUGUGAUGGGUGACCUACCCAGAAAAUAUGGUCUCAUUGUGAUGGGUGACCUACCCAGAAAAAGGAAGAGUGGUCUCAUUCUUUGGGUGACCUACCCAGGGGAAGGAAUGGCCUCAUUCUUAUGGGUGACCUACCCAGGUAAAAAAAAAUGGAGAACGGUCUCAUUCUUAUGGGUGACCUACCCAGAAAAUAUGGUCUCAUUGUGAUGGGUGACCUACCCAUAAAAUAUGGUCUCAUUGUGAUGGGUGACCUACCCAGAAAAAGGAAGAGUGGUCUCAUUCUUUGGGUGACCUACCCAGGGGAAGGAAUGGCCUCAUUCUUAUGGGUGACCUACCCAGGUAAAAAAAAAAUGGAGAACGGUCUCAUUCUUAUGGGUGACCUACCCAGAAAAUAUGGUCUCAUUGUGAUGGGUGAUCUACCCAGAAAAAGGAAGAGUGGUCUCAUUCUUUGGGUGACCUACCCAGGGGAAGGAAAUGUGAUGAAGUGGUCUCGUUGUGAUGGGCGACCUACCCAAAUAGAAAGAAUAUGAAGUGCGGUCUCAUUGUAAUGGGUGACCUACCCAGAAAAUGUUGGAGAGGACUCAAAGGCGCACUCGAAAAGAGGUAGGGUUUAGAAAACGCACUACCCGAGCAGUGAGGGCUCAAACAACGCACUCGAAAAGAGGUAGGGUUAGAAAACGCACUACCUGAAAAGUGAGGGCUCAAACAACGCACUCGAAAAGAGGUAGGGUUAGAAAACGUACUACCCAAAAAGUGAGGGCUCAAACAACGCACUCGAAAAGAGGUAGGGUUAGAAAACGCACUACCCAAAAAGUGAGGGCUCAAACAACGCACUCGAAAAGAGGUAGGGUUAGAAAACGCACUACCUGAGAAAUGGUGAUGAAAUCCCGAUCUGACAAAUGUUGAAAGCAAUAUAUUAUGGUUAAUAUGCAUGUAUGUUUUUGUUACCUAUCUUGGAAACAUAGGUCCCCCUUUCGUCGUAAACCUCUUCGCUCUUGUUUCAAGCUUUUCUCAUGAAACGAAAUAUCCUUCCUUAAUAAUUCCUGUCGCACCCCCAAAAAAAAAAAUAAUAAAAAAGUUGGUUUUUGCGACAUUCGACUGACGACUUUCGUUUUGUUUUGUUGAUUUAGUUCUUUUGGGAGUCGCCACCUAGUAUUUUGGUCACUAGGAACCCUAACUGGUCUUUCAGAGAUUCUAAGGCAAGGGACUGGUUGCGUAAAGGGAAGGUAUUAGCACCCCUAGUACGCCCUACCUAAGGUAAGCUGCUUGGUGUUUGGUUUGCUUUAUAAUUGCUAUGGUGUUGGUAUUUUCUAGGCUCAUCAAUUGAUUUUGGAUAGAAAUCUAAGGAGAUUCCAUGUGCUUUGAAAGCUCAUUUUUC